Molecule: ribosomal RNA, 1179 nt
Filed under: Streptomyces sp. SID8361
Lineage: Bacteria; Bacillati; Actinomycetota; Actinomycetes; Kitasatosporales; Streptomycetaceae
Description: partial 23S ribosomal RNA
Rfam family: Bacterial large subunit ribosomal RNA
Source: RNAcentral
UGAGCUGGUGGUGGCCGCAGAGACCAGCGAGAAGCGACUGUUUACUAAAAACACAGGUCCGUGCGAAGCCGUAAGGCGAUGUAUACGGACUGACGCCUGCCCGGUGCUGGAACGUUAAGGGGACCGGUUAGUGGGGUUUUUGAUCCUGCGAAGCUGAGAACUUAAGCGCCAGUAAACGGCGGUGGUAACUAUAACCAUCCUAAGGUAGCGAAAUUCCUUGUCGGGUAAGUUCCGACCUGCACGAAUGGCGUAACGACUUCUCGACUGUCUCAACCAUAGGCCCGGUGAAAUUGCAUUACGAGUAAAGAUGCUCGUUUCGCGCAGCAGGACGGAAAGACCCCGGGACCUUUACUAUAGCUUGAUAUUGGUGUUCGGUUCGGCUUGUGUAGGAUAGGUGGGAGACUGUGAAGCAUUGACGCUAGUUGGUGUGGAGUCGUUGUUGAAAUACCACUCUGGUCGUGCUGGAUGUCUAACCUGGGUCCGUGAUCCGGAUCAGGGACAGUGUCUGGUGGGUAGUUUAACUGGGGCGGUUGCCUCCUAAAGGGUAACGGAGGCGCCCAAAGGUUCCCUCAGCCUGGUUGGCAAUCAGGUGUUGAGUGUAAGUGCACAAGGGAGCUUGACUGUGAGACCGACGGGUCGAGCAGGGACGAAAGUCGGGACUAGUGAUCCGGCGGUGGCUUGUGGAAGCGCCGUCGCUCAACGGAUAAAAGGUACCCCGGGGAUAACAGGCUGAUCUUCCCCAAGAGUCCAUAUCGACGGGAUGGUUUGGCACCUCGAUGUCGGCUCGUCGCAUCCUGGGGCUGGAGUCGGUCCCAAGGGUUGGGCUGUUCGCCCAUUAAAGCGGUACGCGAGCUGGGUUUAGAACGUCGUGAGACAGUUCGGUCCCUAUCCGCUGUGCGCGUAGGAGUCUUGAGAAGGGCUGUCCCUAGUACGAGAGGACCGGGACGGACGAACCUCUGGUGUGCCAGUUGUUCUGCCAAGGGCAUGGCUGGUUGGCUACGUUCGGGAGGGAUAACCGCUGAAAGCAUCUAAGCGGGAAGCCUGCUUCGAGAUGAGGGCUCCCACCCACUUGAUGGGUUAAGGCUCCCAGUAGACGACUGGGUUGAUAGGCCAGAUAUGGAAGCCGGGUGACCGGUGGAGUUGACUGGUACUAAUAGGCCGAGGGCUUGUCCUCAGUUG